Molecule: long non-coding RNA, 907 nt
Organism: Etheostoma cragini (Arkansas darter)
Lineage: Eukaryota; Metazoa; Chordata; Actinopteri; Perciformes; Percidae
Exons: 3
Source: RefSeq, a predicted model, not a curated record
GAAAUCAGCAAAAUGAAGAUCAAAAGAAGGUGAUGCAGGAGGAAGCUGCUGGAAGGGACCAUGUUGCAAAGCCUCCCCCAGGGACACAGAAGAAAAGGGAGGAGAUGAGUCGGAGAAGCAGAAGUGCAGAAGAACUGGGACUGAAGGACUGACAAACCCGAUGCUUCUUCACACACAGAACAGGAAGAGAGUCAUGCUGCUCUUCAGCUACAGGAAAUAACCUCUGUGCUGAUGACGCAGGUCUCAGGGGAAUGUUCAGCAAGUUCUGUAGGUCUGAAACAUACUGUACGCUCUGUAACUGCAUGAGCGGCAGUCCACACACACACACACACACACACACACACACACACACUCAUACUCAGACAAAUAUUUCUUUGAGAGCUACUUUGUACGUUUGGGUUCUUCACUAAAUCGUCAAAAGCAACUACAGUAUCUCACUGUCUUUCUCUCCCUUAGCACCAGCUUACACACAUGCACACACAAACUAGAUUAAAAGAUGUAAAUCUGUAAAACUGCCACUAGACGAUAUGUCUGUGCAGAGAUUUCCCCCCCGCAACACAUCCAGCGGUCUCCCUAAUUAGAGCUGAGCACAUCUGUGGGCAAGGGAGUCUGCCUCUGCACAUGGAGGGGGGAUUUGGCCGAGAGCAUUCACUGGGCUGUCUGGUGGGGAAGACAAUGGAGAGGAGUACUGUGCAGAGUGCUUUUCCCCAGCACAGAGGAGAGAGAAGAAUAAUGCCAGUUGAAUGUCCCAUAGAGAUGGAUUUAUUGAGACUAUUGGUAUUGGAAAAUCCGGUUAGGGACUUAAUCAAAAUAGAGCGGCAGCAGGGAGAGACUGAGCUGAGACUGAGCUGAGCCUGUAGAGCGGGGAUAAAAAAGACCAGCCCUGCCUAUCCUUUUCCUUUACCUG